Molecule: ribosomal RNA, 170 nt
Filed under: Betaproteobacteria bacterium RIFCSPLOWO2_12_FULL_68_19
Lineage: Bacteria; Pseudomonadati; Pseudomonadota; Betaproteobacteria
Description: partial 23S ribosomal RNA
Rfam family: Bacterial large subunit ribosomal RNA
Source: RNAcentral
CCUCCGUGGUGUACCGGUUGUCACGCCAGUGGCAUCGCCGGGUAGCUAUAUACGGAAGAGAUAACCGCUGAAAGCAUCUAAGCGGGAAACUCGCCUCAAGAUGAGACUUCCCGGGGGCUCGACCCCCCUGAAGGGUCGUCCUAGACCAGGACGUUGAUAGGCGGGAUGUG